Non-coding RNA from Trichonephila clavata, 75 nucleotides. Lineage: Eukaryota; Metazoa; Arthropoda; Arachnida; Araneae; Nephilidae. The record is from the annotation of a GenBank genome assembly.
GUCCCUGUAGAGCAAUGGAUAGCGCGUUGGGGUUCUAAUCCAAAGAUCGUAGGUGUUCAAAUCCCACCUGGGAUG